UCCCUGAUAGCUCAGUUGGUAAAGAAUCUGCCUGCAAUGCAGGAACUCCAGUUGGAAUUCCGGGUCAGGGAA
Molecule: transfer RNA, 72 nt
Filed under: Bos taurus (domestic cattle)
Lineage: Eukaryota; Metazoa; Chordata; Mammalia; Artiodactyla; Bovidae
Also listed under: 2 other names
Rfam family: tRNA
About the family: Transfer RNA (tRNA) molecules are approximately 80 nucleotides in length. Their secondary structure includes four short double-helical elements and three loops (D, anti-codon, and T loops).
Source: Rfam by way of RNAcentral